Paramuricea clavata is the source of this 347-nucleotide non-coding RNA. Lineage: Eukaryota; Metazoa; Cnidaria; Anthozoa; Malacalcyonacea; Plexauridae. The record is from the annotation of a GenBank genome assembly.
UCGAGUCGAGUCGAGUCAGCAGUUUCACUCGAGUCAAGUCGAGUCAUUGGUUUAAGUCGAGUCGAGUCAAUAGCUAGACUUAACUUGAGUAAGGGAAUUUGAUCAAGUCCACCCACAUCCUUGUCCCCAGGGCCUCUCGGCCGCGCGCGUCCUCCCUAGGCCCUGGAACAUACGGAACCGGAAGUGUACGUAAACUUGCAGUAGUUUCUAAAGCGCAUGGUCUUGAAUUGGGACACUUUAGCACCCGUAACAAUUUUCAAAGUGAAGUAUUACGAAGAAACGAAGUAUUUGCGUUGACAUAUGUUGAUAGAAUAAUUUUUCCUAGCUAAAACUGCUCAACUUCUGCG